This 301-nucleotide ribosomal RNA is filed under the name uncultured bacterium. RNAcentral describes it as "partial 16S ribosomal RNA". It matches the Rfam family "Bacterial small subunit ribosomal RNA", at positions 509 to 807 of the family's 1533-position model. The record is from RNAcentral.
CAGUCGCCGCGGUAAUACGAGGGGGGCAAGCGUUGUUCGGAAUUAUUGGGCGUAAAGGGCGCGUAGGCGGUUUGGCAAGUUUGGUGUGAAAUCUUCGGGCUCAACUCGAAGUCUGCACCGAAAACUGCCGGGCUUGAGUAUGGGAGAGGUGAGUGGAAUUUCCGGUGUAGCGGUGAAAUGCGUAGAUAUCGGAAGGAACACCUGUGGCGAAAGCGGCUCACUGGACCAUUACUGACGCUGAGGCGCGAAAGCUAGGGGAGCAAACAGGAUUAGAUACCCCCGUAGUCCCUGUCUCUUAUAC